Molecule: ribosomal RNA, 572 nt
Filed under: uncultured Bacillota bacterium
Lineage: Bacteria; Bacillati; Bacillota
Description: bacterial SSU rRNA
Rfam family: Bacterial small subunit ribosomal RNA
Source: RNAcentral
GGCGAAAGGGUGAGUAGUACCUUAGGUAACCUGCCCCAAAGACGGGAACAACACCUCUAACGGGGUGCUAAUACCCGAUAUGUCGGUGUGGCCGAGUGGUCGUGCCGGCAAAGGUAGCCUCUAUUUAUAAGCUUCCGCUUUGGGAGGGGCCUCGGGCCUAUCAGCUAGUUGGCGGGGUAAAAGCCCACCAAGGCAGGGACGGGUAGCCGGUCUGAGAGGAUGGUCGGCCACACUGGGACUGAGACACUGCCCAGACUCCUACGGGAGGCUGCAGUCGAGGAUCUUCUGCAAUGGGCGCAAGCCUGACAGAGCGACGCCGCGUGGGGGAGGAAGGCCCUCGGGUUGUAAACCCCUGUUGCCGGUUAAGAAUGUGAGGGUGCCAAUAGCGCCACUCAUUGACAAAGGCCGGUGAGGAAGCCACGGCUAACUACGUGCCAGCAGCCGCGGUAAUACGUAGGUGGCUAGCGUUGUUCGGAAUCACUGGGCAUAAAGCGCGCGUAGGCGGCCAUGUUAGUCGGGUGUGAAAGCCCUCGGCUCAACCGAGGAACUGCGCCCGAUACUGCAUGGCUUGA